AUAUACUAGCAUUCAACUGACUGCACUCUUACUUCAAGCGAAACAACCUUUCCGAUCAAAUAUCCAAAUAGAAGUGCAGCUCGUCAAGCAUCAUCUGUACUUUGUAUGAAGAAUAUAUUUCCUUAAGUUUACAACUACAGAGGGCCAAGAAAUCUGGCCGCCUCCUGCUGGCUUAAUCAUGCUCCAGUAGUAGUGUUCGUCCUGGAUCAACCUGAAGUUCAGUUUCUCGAACACACGACAGGCAGCACUGUUAUUCAUAUUGACCAAGGCCGUAAUAUCCUGCUGAAGAUCGGUUGCGAUUGCUUUGGAGAUGGCGGCGGCGACUACUAGGCCCAAACCACGACGUUGGUGGGUUGGGAGCACUUCCAAAGCUCCGAGGAAACCACUUUGCAGUCUCACCAAGCACAUAAUGAACCGGACUCCUUCUCAUACAAUCCCACAUUGGUAUUGUAUGUUAUAAGCAUCUGGAUGAGCUUCAGCGAGCCAGGAUGACGAGCUGACCAAAGAUUGUUUAUAAGGUCUGCAUGUUCAAGCCGCACUUUGUCCAGGUAAUAACCAUCCGGGCACUGGAUCUGCAGUCUCUCUGCCUCCUCACGGUUCAGGAUGUACAUAAUGGUGUUCAUUUCUCGAUCCAUGUGGAGCCCGAGGUCCAGAGCCACCUGCUUGUAGAUCUUGUGAUGGAUCUCAUGGAUAGCACUGACUUUGAAGCCUCCCGACCAAUCCAAUUGUUUCAGCGCAACUUCCAAGUCCGUUUUUUGCUUGCUCAAGUUACUGAAGAAUAGUUGGUACCGAUGCUGAAACGAGAAGUUAUCAAUGAUGAUACUCAAGAGUUCCUGAGACCGAUUCCACAGACCACCAGUAUAAACAAUCCAUCGCUCCUCCAAUCAUUAUCCAAGGUAUAGAAGUUAAGGUGCUUCAACGUCGGGUUUUGGUGCAGCCAUCGCAAGUAGUUGUCCAGCCAGAAGUAGCCGACACAGUUGCUGGGCCAAUCCUUCAGAUACAGUAUCUGUAGAUCCUUGAGAUCGGCCACAGCCGUGAUUCUCGUCAGCUGUCCCACAGUUGCCAUGCCGAAGAGAACUUCUUGACUGUUUAUUGCCACCGGUUUACUUGUUUUUAUUUGCUUGUUGAUAAGCUCGGAGAGAAUUGUUAUACCCUUGUAAAGGUAUCACGAUUUUAUGCCACCAUUUCAAAGCUAAUAAAUAUGAAAGUAAUCGUAGCUAUGAGCUCAUAAUUCCUGUGCCAUGUAAAUAUUUUGCUAAGAAUUAUAAUUUUCCAUAAUGAAUUUCACA
Molecule: long non-coding RNA, 1289 nt
Organism: Drosophila simulans
Lineage: Eukaryota; Metazoa; Arthropoda; Insecta; Diptera; Drosophilidae
Exons: 3
Source: RefSeq, a predicted model, not a curated record